RNAcentral lists this ribosomal RNA (933 nucleotides) under uncultured archaeon. RNAcentral's name for it is "bacterial SSU rRNA". It matches the Rfam family "Archaeal small subunit ribosomal RNA", at positions 1 to 922 of the family's 1478-position model. The record is from RNAcentral.
UUCCGGUUGAUCCCGCCGGACCCGACUGCUAUUUGGGUGAGGAUAAGCCAUGCGAGUUGAAUGGGAAACCUAAAAAUCCCAUGGCAAACUGCUCAGUAACACAUGAUCAACUUACCCUAUAGAGGAAAAUAACCUCGGGAAACUGAGGAUAAUGUUCCAUAGUUGAAUCGGCUUGGAAAAGUUUUUCAAUAAAAGGGAUAAGGAAAAUGGUCCUUAUCUGCUAUAGGAUAGGAUCGUGCUCGAUUAUGGUUGUUGGUGAGGUAAAGGCUCACCAAGCCGAUAAUCGAUAGGGGCCGUGAGAGCGGGAGCCCCGAGAUGGGUACUGAGACAACGACCCAGGCCUUACGAGGCGCAGCAGGCGCGAAACCUCCGCAAUACACGAAAGUGUGACGGGGUUACCCAAAGUGUUCAUUAGAACUGUGGUAGGUGAGUAAUGUUCCCUACUAGAAAGGAGAGGGCAAGGCUGGUGCCAGCCGCCGCGGUAAAACCAGCUCUUCAAGUGGUCGGGAUAAUUAUUGGGCUUAAAGUGUCCGUAGCCGGUUUAGUAAGUUCCUGGUAAAAUCGGGUAGCUUAACUAUCUAUAUGCUAGGAAUACUGCUAUACUAGAGGGCGGGAGAGGUCUGAGGUACUACAGGGGUAGGGGUGAAAUCUUAUAAUCCUUGUAGGACCACCAGUGGCGAAGGCGUCAGACUGGAACGCGCCUGACGGUGAGGGACGAAAGCCAGGGGAGCGAACCGGAUUAGAUACCCGGGUAGUCCUGGCCGUAAACGAUGCAUACUAGGUGAUGGUGUGGCCAUGAGCCGUAUCAGUGCCGUAGGGAAACCGUUAAGUGUGCCGCCUGGGAAGUACGGUCGCAAGGCUAAAACUUAAAGGAAUUGGCGGGGGAGCACCACAAGGGGUGAAGCCUGCGGUUCAAUUGGAUUCAACGCCGGA